UUGGCCUACGGGAGGCAGCAGUGGGGAAUAUUGCACAAUGGGCGCAGGCCUGAUGCAGCGACGCCGCGUGCGGGAUGGAGGCCUUCGGGUUGUAAACCGCUUUUGUUCAAGGGCAAGGCACGGUCUUUGGCCGUGUUGAGUGGAUUGUUCGAAUAAGCACCGGCUAACUACGUGCCAGCAGCCGCGGUAAUACGUAGGGUGCAAGCGUUAUCCGGAUUUAUUGGGCGCAAAGGGCUCGUAGGCGGUUCGUCGCGUCCGGGGGGAAGGUCCAUCGCUUAACGGUGGAUCCGCG
RNAcentral lists this ribosomal RNA (292 nucleotides) under uncultured bacterium. RNAcentral describes it as "partial 16S ribosomal RNA". It matches the Rfam family "Bacterial small subunit ribosomal RNA", at positions 334 to 625 of the family's 1533-position model. The record is from RNAcentral.